RNAcentral lists this ribosomal RNA (267 nucleotides) under uncultured bacterium. RNAcentral's name for it is "partial 16S ribosomal RNA". It matches the Rfam family "Bacterial small subunit ribosomal RNA", at positions 793 to 1055 of the family's 1533-position model. The record is from RNAcentral.
GUCCACGCCGUAAACGUUGGGCACUAGGUGUGGGAGGUAUUGACCCCUUCCGUGCCGCAGCUAACGCGAUAAGUGCCCCGCCUGGGGGAGUACGGCCGCAAGGCUAAAAACUCAAAGGAAUUGACGGGGGCCCGCACAAGCAGCGGAGCGUGUGGUUCAAUUCGAUGCAACGCGAAGAACCUUACCAGGGUUUGACAUGCUGGUGGUACUGAUCCGAAAGGUGAGGGACCCUUCGGGGAGCCAGCACAGGUGUUGCAUGGCUGUCGU